This 431-nucleotide ribosomal RNA is filed under the name uncultured bacterium. Its description in RNAcentral is "bacterial SSU rRNA". It matches the Rfam family "Bacterial small subunit ribosomal RNA", at positions 355 to 775 of the family's 1533-position model. The record is from RNAcentral.
UGGGGAAUAUUGCGCAAUGGGCGAAAGCCUGACGCAGCGACGCCGCGUGAGUGAUGAAGGCCUUCGGGUCGUAAAGCUCUGUAGGAUGGGGACGAACGCUCCCGGGGAAUAAUACCUCCGGGAUUUGACGGUACCUGUCCAGAAAGCACCGGCUAACUCCGUGCCAGCAGCCGCGGUAAUACGGAGGGUGCAAGCGUUGUUCGGAAUCAUUGGGCGUAAAGCGCGUGUAGGCGGGUUGGCAUGUCCGUUGUGAAAUCCCUCGGCUUAACUGAGGAACUGCAGCGGAAACUGCCAGUCUUGAGUACGGGAGAGGGAAGGGGAAUUUCCAGUGGAGUGGUGAAAUACGUUGAUAUUGGAGGGAACACCGGUGGCGAAGGCGCCUUCCUGGACCGUCACUGACGCUGAGACGCGAAAGCGUGGGGAGCAAACAG